Molecule: long non-coding RNA, 1163 nt
Organism: Sciurus carolinensis (gray squirrel)
Lineage: Eukaryota; Metazoa; Chordata; Mammalia; Rodentia; Sciuridae
Exons: 2
Source: RefSeq, a predicted model, not a curated record
UGAAUUUGCAGAACUGUUCUUUUUGUCUACAGGAGCAAUGAGAAAGAAAUUUAAGGAGAGAACUCAGAGUAGUGAAAACAAGCAGCUGGAGAAUGGAGCCUGCUCCCAUUGUCUGAGUAUUCUGUGGGGCAAGUGGGCACCAUGGAAAGUGCCAGGCUUGAACCACCAUGAUGGGAUCUUGCCCCACACUGUGUCUUGCUAAGAGAAGAGACCCCAGCAACAAAAGUCCAUAGGGUGGGUUAUACUGGAAUGGGAAUGGGAAGCCUGGAAGAGGUCCACUGGAGCUGAUUUCCUGUGAGACAUGGCCAUACAGUGAAGAGGCUGCCAAAGGGUUUUGCAAAAAAUCAUCAGGUGCAUCCCAGGAGACACAGCAUUUGGAUGGUUGUCUGGUAGAGGGCAGAGGUCACAAUGGAUCUGAUGAGCUUCUCAGCCCAGAAUAGAAUCUACCUACAUCUCACACUGUUUCCUCUUGCUGAAAUGGAGGAUUGGUUCCUCUCCAGAACUGGGAACAGCCCUUCCAUGCAACUGUAUCUGGAUCUCCUCCUUUCCAGGUGUAAUGGACUACACUUGGCUUGUGGUUUGCUACCAUCCUUUCCUUUGCAGAAAUAUCUGUACACUAUUUCCUAAUUAUCCUAAGAAGUUUAUAUGACUUGAAUGGGACCAACUGCUUGUGAUUUGCUACCAUUCCUGUAGCCCCACCGGAAGUCACACCACCCAGCUGUGCAUGAUCAGAAGGUUCCAUGCCAACCACAACAGAAGAGAUUUAAAUAUGCCAUUCUGGCAUAAGGAUUAUUUUGAGUUUCAAGACAUUUAUGACUCAACUGACAAAGAAAGAAGCCUUCCCAAAGUGUUCCUUAUCUGACUAAAAGCAGAAACUUUUGAAAAAUGAAGACUACCAUAAAUCCCCUCUGCCAUGGAAAUUCCCUGGGAGAAAGUUGCUGAGAUGACCCUGCACACACAACUUUACUCUGUUAGUUUUCCCCAUUUAUUUUCCUUGCCAGUCUGCUGCUUUAGGAAGACUAAAACCUUCUCCUUUGUCUUAUCACUUCCCUAAAAAUUUAUUGUUCUUUUCAAAGGUGCCACAUAAGAACAAGUUCUAAGCACUUCUUUGACAUGUAGAUCACUUGUAUAGCAUGGUUUAAUAAACUCUGUUUUUAAAUUUU